GAUCAGCGAGCCAUAGAGAAUAAAUGGAUCUUCAAGAAGAAGACUGACGCUGAUGGUAAUGUUACUGUCUACAAAGCUCGACUUGUCGCAAAAGGUUUUCGACAAGUUCAAGAAGUUGACUACGAUGAGACCUUCUCACCCAUAGCGAUGCUUAAGUCUGUCCGAAUCAUGUUAGCAAUUACGGCAUUUUAUGAUUAUGAAAUCUGGCAAAUGGAUGUCAAAAUUGCAUUCUUUAAUGGGUUUCUCAAAGAAGAGUUGUAUAUGAUGCAACUAGAAGGUUUUGUCGAUCCUAAAGGUGCUAACAAAGUGUGCAAGCUCUAG
RNAcentral lists this ribosomal RNA (321 nucleotides) under Triticum aestivum (bread wheat). RNAcentral's name for it is "partial small subunit ribosomal RNA". The record is from RNAcentral. Lineage: Eukaryota; Viridiplantae; Streptophyta; Magnoliopsida; Poales; Poaceae.